Molecule: ribosomal RNA, 404 nt
Filed under: uncultured bacterium
Lineage: Bacteria
Description: bacterial SSU rRNA
Rfam family: Bacterial small subunit ribosomal RNA
Source: RNAcentral
UGGGGGAUAUUGCACAAUGGGGGAAACCCUGAUGCAGCAACGCCGCGUGAAGGAAGAAGGUCUUCGGAUUGUAAACUUUUGUCCUUGGGGAAGAUAGUGACGGUACCCAAGGAGGAAGCUCCGGCUAACUACGUGCCAGCAGCCGCGGUAAUACGUAGGGAGCGAGCGUUGUCCGGAUUUACUGGGUGUAAAGGGUGCGUAGGCGGAUAAGCAAGUCAGUGGUGAAAUCUAUGGGCUUAACCCAUAAACUGCCAUUGAAACUGUUUGUCUUGAGUGGAGUAGAGGCAGGCGGAAUUCCCGGUGUAGCGGUGAAAUGCGUAGAGAUCGGGAGGAACACCAGUGGCGAAGGCGGCCUGCUGGGCUUUAACUGACGCUGAAGCACGAAAGCAUGGGUAGCAAACAGG